AUGGUGUCACUUGAGCUGAGACAGUGCAAAAAUUGGGUGUGCCUUCCAUCUCUUGGAAAUCUACAGCUACUCAAGCAUCUCGAAUUGCAAAACCUUACUGGAUUGAAACAGAUUGGACAAUCAUCUGGUGAUUCCUUGCCUCAAAAUCUGAAAACCCUAGUGGUGGAAGGAUGCCAGGGAUUAAGGAAACUGCCACUUCUACCUCUGACUUUGAUGCAGCUGGAAAUAAAUAAUGUUGGAUUGGACAUCCUCCCGAGAAUUGUUGUCCACCAUGGUAACAUUGGUUCUGAGGCCAUGCCACCCAAGUUAGUAUCAGUCAUCAUCAGCAAUUGUUCAAAUUUGACCAUGUUGGCAGAGAGCUUUCUACUGCAGGAGCACUAUAUCUGCACUCUUCAGAUCCUAAAGAUUGUUGACUGUAAAAGGUUAAUCCAUGCUCCUUUAUCAUUUGGGAGCAUGAAUGAUCUUACGGAAUUUCGUAUUGGGUGCUGUUACUCAUUGAGAAUGACGAUGCCGAAGGUUGAUGGUGGACUACUCCCUUGCACGCUUAAGGAAAUCUCUAUGGUGCAGUGUGGUGACCUCCAACUUCCUUUGCUGAAUUCACUGGUUGGUCUCACUAAUCUUACAUCAUUAAGUUUGUGCAACUGCUCCAGGGUGAAGUCUCUUCCAUCAUCAGAGGUGUUCCGGAGUCUCACGGCACUGCGAGAAAUGGUUGCAAAAGACUGUAUUUUCUUGUCAUCCUUGGGUGGGCUUGGAGCUCUUUCAUAUCUCAGUUGGCUAGAAAUUACAGACUGUGACCAGCUUCAGCUGGCUGCAGAAAUAGGUGAAAUGUAUGGAGAUUCAUUGGUUGGGGUCGCCUUGAAGGACUCCCUCUGGAUCCAUACCACCUUCAUGUUAAAAUGGAGCCACUGA
This 909-nucleotide ribosomal RNA is filed under the name Triticum aestivum (bread wheat). RNAcentral describes it as "partial small subunit ribosomal RNA". The record is from RNAcentral. Lineage: Eukaryota; Viridiplantae; Streptophyta; Magnoliopsida; Poales; Poaceae.